UACGGAGGGUGCGAGCGUUGUCCGGAUUUAUUGGGUUUAAAGGGUGCGUAGGCGGCUUUUUAAGUCUGGGGUGAAAGCCCGCUGCUCAACAGCGGAACUGCCCUGGAUACUGGAGAGCUUGAGUACAGACGAGGUUGGCGGAAUGGACAGAGUAGCGGUGAAAUGCAUAGAUACUGUCCAGAACCCCGAUUGCGAAGGCA
Molecule: ribosomal RNA, 200 nt
Filed under: uncultured bacterium
Lineage: Bacteria
Description: partial 16S ribosomal RNA
Rfam family: Bacterial small subunit ribosomal RNA
Source: RNAcentral